Sapajus apella (tufted capuchin) is the source of this 194-nucleotide long non-coding RNA. RefSeq lists it as uncharacterized. Lineage: Eukaryota; Metazoa; Chordata; Mammalia; Primates; Cebidae. The record is from RefSeq and is a predicted model, not a curated record. The transcript has 2 exons.
CCGGGCGCCCCCUGGUGGUCUCGGGGGCCCCUGCAGGAGGUUUGUGUCCGGGCUCACACGGGCCUCCCCUCACUGUGUCACUCGCACAGUAAUACACGGCCGUGUCCUCGGCUCUCAGGCUGCUCAUCUGCAGAUACAGCGAGUUCUUGGCGUUGUCUCUGGAGAUGGUGAAUCGGCCCUUCACGGAGUCUGCG